UACGGAGGGCGCAAGCGUUGUUCGGACUCACUGGGCGUAAAGCGCGUGUCGGCGGCCGGGCAAGUCGGAUGUGAAAUCCCGAGGCUCAACCUCGGAACUGCAUUCGAAACUGCUUGGCUUGAGUCCCGGAGAGGAUGGCGGAAUUCCCGGUGUAGGGGUGAAAUCCGUAGAUAUCGGGAGGAACACCAGUGGCGAAGGCGGCCAUCUGGACGGUGACUGACGCUGAGACGCGAAAGCGUGGGGAGCAAACAGG
RNAcentral lists this ribosomal RNA (253 nucleotides) under uncultured bacterium. RNAcentral's name for it is "partial 16S ribosomal RNA". It matches the Rfam family "Bacterial small subunit ribosomal RNA", at positions 524 to 776 of the family's 1533-position model. The record is from RNAcentral.